CCUACGGUGUGCAUCAGUGGGGGAUAUUGCACAAUGGGGGAAACCCUGAUGCCGCGACGCCGCGUGAGUGAAGAAGUAUUUCGUUAUGUAAAGCUCUAUCAGCAGGGAAGAAAAUGACAUUACCUGACCAAGAAGCCCCGGCUAACUACGUGCCAGCAGCCGCGGUAAUACGUAGGGGGCACGCGUUAUCCGGAUUUACUGGGAGGAAAAGGAGCGUAGACGGUGAUGUAAGUCUGGAGGGAAAGCCCGGGGCCCAACCCCGGGACUGCUUUGGAAACUGUGUAACUGGAGUACAGGAGGGGCAGGCGGAAUUCCUGGUGUAGCGGUGAAAGGCGUAGAUAUCAGGAGGAACACCGGCGGCGAAGGCGGCCUGCUGGACUGAAACUGACGUUGAGGCUCGAAAGCGUGGGGAGCAAACAGGAUUAGAUACCCGGGUAGUC
RNAcentral lists this ribosomal RNA (440 nucleotides) under uncultured bacterium. RNAcentral describes it as "partial 16S ribosomal RNA". It matches the Rfam family "Bacterial small subunit ribosomal RNA", at positions 338 to 795 of the family's 1533-position model. The record is from RNAcentral.